UACGUAGGGUGCAAGCGUUAAUCGGAAUUACUGGGCGUAAAGCGUGCGCAGGCGGUUUUGUAAGUCUGUCGUGAAAUCCCCGGGCUCAACCUGGGAAUUGCGAUGGAGACUGCAAGGCUAGAAUCUGGCAGAGGGGGGUAGAAUUCCACGUGUAGCAGUGAAAUGCGUAGAGAUGCGGAGGAACACCGAUGGCGAAGGCAGCCCCCUGGGCUAACACUGACGCUCAGGCACGAAAGCGUGGGGAGCAAACAGG
This 253-nucleotide ribosomal RNA is filed under the name uncultured bacterium. RNAcentral's name for it is "partial 16S ribosomal RNA". It matches the Rfam family "Bacterial small subunit ribosomal RNA", at positions 524 to 776 of the family's 1533-position model. The record is from RNAcentral.